This 253-nucleotide ribosomal RNA is filed under the name uncultured bacterium. Its description in RNAcentral is "partial 16S ribosomal RNA". It matches the Rfam family "Bacterial small subunit ribosomal RNA", at positions 524 to 776 of the family's 1533-position model. The record is from RNAcentral.
UACGUAGGGUGCAAGCGUUAAUCGGAAUUACUGGGCGUAAAGCGUGCGCAGGCGGUUAUGCAAGACAGAUGUGAAAUCCCCGGGCUUAACCUGGGAACUGCAUUUGUGACUGCAUAGCUAGAGUACGGUAGAGGGGGAUGGAAUUCCGCGUGUAGCAGUGAAAUGCGUAGAUAUGUGGAGGAACACCGAUGGCGAAGGCAGCCCCCUGGGUCAAGACUGACGCUCAUGCACGAAAGCGUGGGGAGCAAACAGG